Molecule: non-coding RNA, 28 nt
Filed under: Bombyx mori (domestic silkworm)
Lineage: Eukaryota; Metazoa; Arthropoda; Insecta; Lepidoptera; Bombycidae
Source: RNAcentral
UGUCUUAAGAGUGAUGAGCGUACUUGGU